This 440-nucleotide ribosomal RNA is filed under the name uncultured bacterium. RNAcentral describes it as "partial 16S ribosomal RNA". It matches the Rfam family "Bacterial small subunit ribosomal RNA", at positions 338 to 795 of the family's 1533-position model. The record is from RNAcentral.
CCUACGGGAGGCAGCAGUGGGGGAUAUUGCACAAUGGGGGAAACCCUGAUGCAGCGACGCCGCGUGUGGGAAGACGGUCCUCUGGAUUGUAAACCACUGUCCCCAGGGACGAAGAUGACGGUACCUGGGGAGGAAGCUCCGGCUAACUACGUCCCAGCAGCCGCGGUAAUACGUAGGGGGCGAGCGUUGUCCGGAAUUACUGGGGUUAAAGGGAGAGUAGGCGGGACUGCAAGUUGGGGGUCAAAUCUACGGGCUCAACCGGUAGCCGCACUCAAAACUGCAGUUCUUGAGUGAAGUAGAGGCAGGCGGAAUUCCUAGUGUAGCGGGGAAAUGCGUAGAUAUUAGGAGGAACACCAGUGGCGAAGGCGGCCUGCUGGGCUUUUACUGACGCUGAGGCUCGAAAGUGUGGGGAGCAAACAGGAUUAGAUACCCCAGUAGUC